AGCCCGUGCCCCAAGGAGAUUUCAUUCUCCUGGGGAAGCAACACAUGGUAUACACACAAAACAAUGUACAGUUAUUUGGAGGUGUUAUUUGCACUCACAACGGAAGGAAUGAGGAAAGGUGAUGGAGAUGGGGGAAAUGGAAAAUAAGCUGAGUUUUGAAAGGAGUCAGGGCUUCCAAGAGGUGGAGGCCAGGAGAAGCAGCGUCCAAGGCACUACGGACAGCGUGGGCAAAGGAGUGGAGAUGGGAAAAUGGAACAUCGACUAGCCCAGGGGUAAUAGAGAGCCUGAAUGUGGGGACGAGAGCAUCUAUUAUGUGCCAGGCCACAGAGCUGGAAAUACAAGGACAGUUUGUUGACUGACCAACAUGGUGUUUCUUCAGUCUUGGUACAGGAAGCAGUCUCCCUCCAGGUCCUCCCCAUCUGGCCCCUGGACAACUCUGACCAUCCCCUUGGCAGAACAUCAAGUCCACCUUCAAAUAAAUUGUUGAUCUAUUUGGUUUCCCCUUCUA
This is a long non-coding RNA of Trichosurus vulpecula (common brushtail), 508 nucleotides long. RefSeq lists it as uncharacterized. The transcript has 3 exons. The record is from RefSeq and is a predicted model, not a curated record. Lineage: Eukaryota; Metazoa; Chordata; Mammalia; Diprotodontia; Phalangeridae.